CCUACGGGCGGCAGCAGUGAGGAAUAUUGGUCAAUGGACGAGAGUCUGAACCAGCCAAGUCGCGUGAAGGAUGACUGCCCUAUGGGUUGUAAACUUCUUUUAUCUGGGAAUAAAAUGUUCCACGUGUGGGAUUUUGUAUGUACCAUAUGAAUAAGGAUCGGCUAACUCCGUGCCAGCAGCCGCGGUAAUACGGAGGAUCCGAGCGUUAUCCGGAUUUAUUGGGUUUAAAGGGAGCGUAGGUGGAUUGUUAAGUCAGUUGUGAAAGUUUGCGGCUCAACCGUAAAAUUGCAGUUGAAACUGGCAGUCUUGAGGACAGUAGAGGUGGGCGGAAUUCGUGGUGUAGCGGUGAAAUGCUUAGAUAUCACGAAGAACUCCGAUUGCGAAGGCAGUUCACUGGACUGCAACUGACACUGAGGCUCGAAAGUGUGGGUAUCAAACAGGAUUAGAUACCCGGGUAGUC
RNAcentral lists this ribosomal RNA (460 nucleotides) under uncultured bacterium. RNAcentral's name for it is "partial 16S ribosomal RNA". It matches the Rfam family "Bacterial small subunit ribosomal RNA", at positions 338 to 795 of the family's 1533-position model. The record is from RNAcentral.